This 765-nucleotide ribosomal RNA is filed under the name Vreelandella venusta. Its description in RNAcentral is "bacterial SSU rRNA". It matches the Rfam family "Bacterial small subunit ribosomal RNA", at positions 34 to 796 of the family's 1533-position model. Lineage: Bacteria; Pseudomonadati; Pseudomonadota; Gammaproteobacteria; Oceanospirillales; Halomonadaceae. The record is from RNAcentral.
UCCUGGGGGCAGGCUACCAUGCAAGUCGAGCGGUAGCACAGAGAAGCUUGCUUCUUGGGUGACGAGCGGCGGACGGGUGAGUAAUGCAUAGGAAUCUGCCCGAUAGUGGGGGAUAACCUGGGGAAACCCAGGCUAAUACCGCAUACGUCCUACGGGAGAAAGGGGGCUCCGGCUCCCGCUAUUGGAUGAGCCUAUGUCGGAUUAGCUAGUUGGUGAGGUAAAGGCUCACCAAGGCAACGAUCCGUAGCUGGUCUGAGAGGAUGAUCAGCCACAUCGGGACUGAGACACGGCCCGAACUCCUACGGGAGGCAGCAGUGGGGAAUAUUGGACAAUGGGCGCAAGCCUGAUCCAGCCAUGCCGCGUGUGUGAAGAAGGCCCUCGGGUUGUAAAGCACUUUCAGCGAGGAAGAACGCCUAGCGGUUAAUACCCGCUAGGAAAGACAUCACUCGCAGAAGAAGCACCGGCUAACUCCGUGCCAGCAGCCGCGGUAAUACGGAGGGUGCAAGCGUUAAUCGGAAUUACUGGGCGUAAAGCGCGCGUAGGUGGCUUGAUAAGCCGGUUGUGAAAGCCCCGGGCUCAACCUGGGAACGGCAUCCGGAACUGUCAAGCUAGAGUGCAGGAGAGGAAGGUAGAAUUCCCGGUGUAGCGGUGAAAUGCGUAGAGAUCGGGAGGAAUACCAGUGGCGAAGGCGGCCUUCUGGACUGACACUGACACUGAGGUGCGAAAGCGUGGGUAGCAAACAGGAUUAGAUACCCUGGGUAGUCA